ACUGACAGGGGCGCUCACAGAAGUGGGCUGAGAGUCGGAUGUUUUUCCGUAACCCAUAACCUGAUUUGGAUAAUGCCAACGUAGGGAUGAACAGACUU
This 98-nucleotide non-coding RNA is filed under the name bovine gut metagenome. The record is from RNAcentral.